UGAUAAUAGAGAAGUCUUUUGAAACAAAAGUAAUGAAAAGAACUAUGAAUUCAGAAGUAGCUCUACAUCUCACUAGUAUAAGAAAGAGCAUUAGAAAAGGAAGGAAAAUAAGCAGAUGAUUUUAUAUUGUAAGAGGUUCUUCUAGAGCUAAAAGGAGCAGGUCUAACUGUGAACAAUUUAGACAAAAGAACAUUUAAACAGAGGUAGGAAUUUAUUUCAGCAAAGAUGACAGUGGGAAGCAUCGAGUCGUUUUAGGGUUGGAAAUCUCUACAUUUUAAAACCAUUCACAUUAGACUGGGGAUGAAUGGGAAACAGAAGUGUCUGAAAAGGUUCAAGCGGGUAGGUGAAAAUCCGAAGGCAAAAAUUGUUGCCCCUGGUGGGGACCUCUAAUAUUCAAGAGAAUUUUCUGCAGAAAAGGAUGUUAGUUUGAAGUUGCUAUUCUUCUCUUGAAUCUCUGCAGUUCCCUGAGCUGGUGACAAGUUCCAUAAUUGUUCUAGCUUUAUUGUUUUUUUCUCCACAAAGCUAUUUGUGAAAGAGCCAUAAAAUUGUCUUACCCAACGUUCUCAGUUUCAAGAAAUAUGAUACACAGCAGAUCGGAAGAAAUUAUUAUUAUUUUUUUUCUAUUUCACAGCAUCUUGGC
RNAcentral lists this long non-coding RNA (640 nucleotides) under Homo sapiens (human). Its description in RNAcentral is "HSALNT0233381". The record is from RNAcentral. Lineage: Eukaryota; Metazoa; Chordata; Mammalia; Primates; Hominidae.